This 95-nucleotide ribosomal RNA is filed under the name Serratia marcescens. RNAcentral also lists the same sequence under 5 other names. Lineage: Bacteria; Pseudomonadati; Pseudomonadota; Gammaproteobacteria; Enterobacterales; Yersiniaceae. The record is from RNAcentral.
GUCCCACCUGACCCCAUGCCGAACUCAGAAGUGAAACGCCGUAGCGCCGAUGGUAGUGUGGGGUCUCCCCAUGCGAGAGUAGGACACUGCCAGGC